AGCGUGCGAUUGGAUUGCACGUCUAAGCAGUAAGGCUGAGUAUUAGGCAAAUCCGGUACUCGUUAAGGCUGAGCUGUGAUGGGGAGAAGACAUUGAGUCUUCGAGUCGUUGAUUUCACACUGCCGAGAAAAGCCUCUAGAUAGAAAAUAGGUGCCCGUACCGCAAACCGACACAGGUAGUCAAGAUGAGAAUUCUAAGGUGAGCGAGCGAACUCUCGUUAAGGAACUCGGCAAAAUGACCCCGUAACUUCGGGAGAAGGGGUGCUCUUUAGGGUUAACGCCCAGAAGAGCCGCAGUGAAUAGGCCCAAGCGACUGUUUAUCAAAAACACAGGUCUCUGCUAAACCGUAAGGUGAUGUAUAGGGGCUGACGCCUGCCCGGUGCUGGAAGGUUAAGAGGAGUGGUUAGCUUCUGCGAAGCUACGAAUCGAAGCCCCAGUAAACGGCGGCCGUAACUAUAACGGUCCUAAGGUAGCGAAAUUCCUUGUCGGGUAAGUUCCGACCCGCACGAAAGGCGUAACGAUUUGGGCACUGUCUCAACGAGAGACUCGGUGAAAUCAUAGUACCUGUGAAGAUGCAGGUUACCCGCGACAGGACGGAAAGACCCCGUGGAGCUUUACUGUAGCCUGAUAUUGAAAUUCGGCACAGCUUGUACAGGAUAGGUAGGAGCCUUUGAAACGUGAGCGCUAGCUUACGUGGAGGCGCUGGUGGGAUACUACCCUAGCUGUGUUGGCUUUCUAACCCGCACCACUUAUCGUGGUGGGAGACAGUGUCAGGCGGGCAGUUUGACUGGGGCGGUCGCCUCCUAAAAGGUAACGGGGGCGCUCAAAGGUUCCCUCAGAAUGGUUGGAAAUCAUUCAUAGAGUGUAAAGGCAUAAGGGAGCUUGACUGCGAGACCUACAAGUCGAGCAGGGUCGAAAGACGGACUUAGUGAUCCGGUGGUUCCGCAUGGAAGGGCCAUCGCUCAACGGAUAAAAGCUACCCCGGGGAUAACAGGCUUAUCUCCCCCAAGAGUUCACAUCGACGGGGAGGUUUGGCACCUCGAUGUCGGCUCAUCGCAUCCUGGGGCUGUAGUCGGUCCCAAGGGUUGGGCUGUUCGCCCAUUAAAGUGGUACGCGAGCUGGGUUCAGAACGUCGUGAGACAGUUCGGUCCCUAUCCGUCGUGGGCGUAGGAAAUUUGAGAGGAGCUGUCCUUAGUACGAGAGGACCGGGAUGGACAUACCUCUGGUGUACCAGUUGUCGUGCCAACGGCAUAGCUGGGUAGCUAUGUGUGGACGGGAUAAGUGCUGAAAGCAUCUAAGCAUGAAGCCCCCCUCAAGAUGAGAUUUCCCAACUUCGGUUAUAAGAUCCCUCAAAGAUGAUGAGGUUAAUAGGUUCGAGGUGGAAGCAUGGUGACAUGUGGAGCUGACGAAUACUAAUCGAUCGAAGACUUAAUCAA
RNAcentral lists this ribosomal RNA (1435 nucleotides) under Staphylococcus aureus VET1024S. RNAcentral's name for it is "bacterial LSU rRNA". It matches the Rfam family "Bacterial large subunit ribosomal RNA", at positions 1489 to 2925 of the family's 2925-position model. The record is from RNAcentral. Lineage: Bacteria; Bacillati; Bacillota; Bacilli; Caryophanales; Staphylococcaceae.